Molecule: non-coding RNA, 566 nt
Organism: Procambarus clarkii (red swamp crayfish)
Lineage: Eukaryota; Metazoa; Arthropoda; Malacostraca; Decapoda; Cambaridae
Source: RefSeq, a predicted model, not a curated record
GCUAAGAUGUUGUAUGAUGAUGGAUACUUCUGCUCAUCAGCCAGGAAAAGUAACACAUUCUUCAGCCACCAAACUCCUGAACAACUGGCAUUUUCUUAAAAGGAACAGUCCAGGUUUAUCAAUGAAAUCAUUGUUAAUAGCGCUCCAAGCGCUUUGCUCUCAUAAUGGAAGAGAUGGUUGCAUCAACUUUGAAGCUGCUAAAAGAACAUUCAGGAGUGGAGAUUUAUGCAGUAUGAACUUGCAAUGUCCAAAGCUACAAUAAAACCGUGUGCCCUGCUUGUCAUACUAACCCAUUUGCCAUACAUAUUGAUGGCAACAAAAAGUUAUUCCGAUAUGAAAAAGUUGGAAGAGGAUUGAGGGAAUCAUAUUAUUCAGAGAGUGUCUUUGCUGCUGACAAUGAUGUGACUAAUCACCUGAACCAUAUAGAGCUUAAAAACAAAGUUACUCUUCAAGAAAAGAGAAAUGCUGCAGAAAAGCUGCAUAUGUACAACAGGAUUAUGGAAGAACAAAAUGUCAUUCAACUGGAAAUGAAAAGUUACUUGGAUUAUACAGAAAAAAGCUUGAAG